This is an RNA transcript of Populus euphratica (Euphrates poplar), 2749 nucleotides long. It is a transcript of the gene named mediator of RNA polymerase II transcription subunit 15a-like, with no coding region annotated. The record is from RefSeq and is a predicted model, not a curated record. NCBI's taxonomy places the organism in Eukaryota, Viridiplantae, Streptophyta, Magnoliopsida, Malpighiales, Salicaceae. The transcript has 7 exons.
AUCAUCUGUUUGCUAAUAUGUGCAAGUGCUGCAAAAUAGUAUAUCUUGUAUUUAAAUGAAUGAAAAAGAGAAGGGCAAAAGGCUAAUUAAAAUCAGGAGGACUGCCAUGAGGCAACCUCAAGUAUCAUACACCUCUGUUUUUGUCUUUUUCAUUUUUCACUUGUUUCUCACAAGAAGUGAACUAGAGGGAAUAAAAAGUGCUGGAAGUAAUUUUUGUUGUAACUUCUUGUGUAACAUCUUUGGUUGGAACUUUUUGGUUGGCCAAAACCCCAUGGAUGCCAAUAAUUGGAGGCCCACUAUCCCAGGCGGAGAACCUGUCAUUGACAUGGGUUAUUGGAGAAUUCAAUUGCAGCCUGACUCACGGAAAAGAAUAAUCGACAAAAUCCAUAAUCCAGUUAAAGAAAAUUAACCAUGAAGCUCAUAACUAGAAUUUUAGACAGAAGGGUGGCCAAGUGAACUCAUAUACCCUGUACCUCUGCAAUAACACGGGGAAAGGAAGUAAAAAUAGAUAAUAGAGAUAUUAAGGAGGCAUCUUCAAUUUUCUGGUCAAGAGGGAUUACAAGAACUCAAGAAAAUUGCUGUACGGUUUGAGGAAAAGAUUUAUACUGCCUCCACCAAUCAGCAUCCCAUAGUAUGCCCCCUGAAGUUCAGAAUCAAGGGCUGUUUCUCCCUAUCCUAUUGUCCACUGAUCAGUCUCAAGCAUGUCAGCAGUUGGUAUCACAGAACAUGCAGAAUUGCAUGGCAUCUAAUGGAGUUCAAAGUUAUGCUGGUUUACAAGCAGCACUGCCUCCUGUCUCUGGUGUAACCCUGACUAUCCCCAACACUGUUGUCCAGAAUCCUAACAUGCCGAGUAUCCCUGGUGUUUCACAGAACUCAGUGGGGGAAUUCAAUGGGACAAGGGAUUCACUACACUAUGUUUGCCAAUUCUCAGAGACAAAUGCCAGCAUCCCUAGAUUAUACAGCACAGACUGGACAUGCAAAAGGCGCUGAUUGGCAAGAGGAGAUCUAUGAGAAGAUCAAAGUUAUAAAGGAGACUUAUUUCCCUGAAAUAAAUGAAAUGCACCAGAGAAUUGCUGCCAGGUUACAGCAGCUUGACUCUCUUCCGCAUCAACCGAAUUCAGAACAGCUUGAAAAGCUGGAGAUUUUCAAGACCAUGUUGGAGCGCUUGAUAACAUUCUUACAGGUCUCUAAAAACAACAUCACACCUAGUUUCAAGGAGAAAUUGGGUCCUAUGAGAAGCAGAUUGUAAGUUCUAUAAACCCAAGCAGAUUCAGGAGGCCAAUUCCUAAUCUACAGUUCCUCAAUUGCAGUGCCAUGAAAAUCAACUGAAUCUCCAGUAGCAAUCAUUGAAUGUGCAAGGUUCUGUACCAAUAAUGCAGCAGAACAAUAUGUCAAGCUUGCAGCAUGGUUCUUUUUCAUCUUUAUCUGGGGUUUCUAUGUCAUAACCAAUCAUGAUGAUGCGGGAUGAGGGAUAUUAAGAAAAGAAAAGGGGGGAGAGAGAAUGAUAUUGUAGCAAAAAUAUUUGAGCUUACUACAAAUCCAAGCCAAAAUAUUUGAGCUUGUCAUGUUGAAUCAUCUCUUCUAGAAUUGUCCUUUUCCUUGCCUGGGGCAUCAAACAUGACCUGACAUGUUGAGGAAACAGACGGGAGGUGUUUUUUUAAACACAAGGCAGAUUUUUAUGAGGGCAAAUCUUCAGCGUUUUGACAGGCAGAUUAAAUUUUCUUAAAAGGGGCUUUGGUUUGAUUCCUACAUGCUGCGGGCAAAUCUUCAGUGUUUCGACAGGCAGCCUCAUGAGCAAAAGAAAGACAAUCUGCGACCACUCCAAGCUUCUCGUUGCUCCCCUGUUCCGAUUAGAAACAGAGAUUCAAGAAGCUAUGCUACUGUCCUGAGACAAGAGUUCCAACAAAAUCUAUUUUUAGUUCCCAAGACACUCUUUUUCCAGAGAAUCAUUCCUCUGCUUUGCAUAAAGUGAUCCAUGAAUCUGUAGAAGAGGAAUCUGUAUGGUUAGGAUAUAGUCUUGUUGGGUCAAUUAAAGAGGGUGUGACUUAAUGUAGGCCCGGUUUCACUAUGUAAUAGGGACAUUGAAGAUAAAUCAGGAAGAGGAAAAGAAGCCUCAAUCGCUCUCAACAUGAGUGUUUGAAGUGGCUCGACUCAAAGAAACCAAAUUCAGUUGUUUAUAUUUGCUUUGGAAGCAUGGCAAACUUCACUGCCUCUCAGCUUAAGGAGGUUGCAGCAGGUCUUGAAGCUUCUGGGCAUCAGUUUAUCUGGUUAGUUAGAAGAAACAUAAAGAGUCAAGAAGACAAGGAAGAUUGUUUACCUGAAGGAUUUGAGGAAAGAAUGGAAGGCAAAGGGCUAAUUAUCAGACGAUGGGCACUCCAAGUUUUGAUUCUUGAUCAUGAAGCAAUAGGUGCAUUUGUGACUCAUUGAGGAUGGAACUCAACUCUUGAAGGCAUAAGGCCAAUAUUUGCUGAGCAAUUCUAUAAUGAAAAAUUGGUGACUGAUGUUUUAAAAACUGGAGUUGGUUUUGGAGAUCAUGUUGAAAGUGAAGCUGUAGAGAAGGCAAUCACUGAAAUUAUUUUCAGAGGAAAUGAGGAGCAGAACAAAGAAGGUGGAUCUUCUUGCUCCGAUUUAAAUGCUUUGAUUGAAUAACUGCGGUGGGGUCGCCAUUGAAACAGAGGCAAUGUAAGUGUUGAUCACAUGCAUAGAAUAUUUUGUUUCUGUUUAGUAGUGGUUUUGGCAAUUUAAUUUC